GGGGAUAUAGCUCAGUGGUAGAGUGCUUGCCUAGCGAGCACAAGGCCCUGGGUUCGGUCCCCAGCUCCG
Molecule: transfer RNA, 69 nt
Filed under: Rattus norvegicus (Norway rat)
Lineage: Eukaryota; Metazoa; Chordata; Mammalia; Rodentia; Muridae
Rfam family: tRNA
About the family: Transfer RNA (tRNA) molecules are approximately 80 nucleotides in length. Their secondary structure includes four short double-helical elements and three loops (D, anti-codon, and T loops).
Source: Rfam by way of RNAcentral